Molecule: non-coding RNA, 262 nt
Organism: Xyrichtys novacula (pearly razorfish)
Lineage: Eukaryota; Metazoa; Chordata; Actinopteri; Labriformes; Labridae
Source: the annotation of a GenBank genome assembly
UUUUUUUUUUUUUUUCAAUUUAAAAAAUACAUGUGUUUAUUCAAUUAUGCAAAUUUAAAAAAAGGAGUUGACUCAGUUUCUGUCUUCUUUUCUUUCUUUAAAACGCAUCAAAGGUGAAAGACAAACGGAUGCAGAUCCGUCCGGUCAAUUUCCUCAGGUUUGCACAGUUUUUUUUCUCCUUGAUGACUUGGAAGAGUAUAAGACAAGAUUUUAAGGCAGGAUUGAACUAACCACAUUUUUUUUAAGUUACUGAAAAGUGUUG